Molecule: ribosomal RNA, 499 nt
Filed under: uncultured bacterium
Lineage: Bacteria
Description: partial 16S ribosomal RNA
Rfam family: Bacterial small subunit ribosomal RNA
Source: RNAcentral
GACGAACGCUGGCGGCGUGCCUAAUACAUGCAAGUCGAGCGAAGUUUUUCUGGUGCUUGCCCUAGAAAUACUUAGCGGCGAACGGGUGAGUAACACGUAAAGAACCUGCCUCAUAGACUGGGACAACUAUUGGAAACGAUAGCUAAUACCGGAUAACAGUAUUUCUCGCAUGAGAGAUAUUUAAAAGUUGGUUAUGCUAACACUAUGAGAUGGCUUUGCGGUGCAUUAGCUAGUUGGUGGGGUAAAGGCCCACCAAGGCGACGAUGCAUAGCCGACCUGAGAGGGUGAUCGGCCACACUGGGACUGAGACACGGCCCAGACUCCUACGGGAGGCAGCAGUAGGGAAUCUUCCGCAAUGGGCGAAAGCCUGACGGAGCAACGCCGCGUGAGUGAAGAAGGAUUUCGGUUCGUAAAGCUCUGUUGUUAGGGAAGAAUGGAUAUGUAGUAACUAUACAUGUAAGAGACGGUACCUAACCAGAAAGCCACGGCUAACUACGUG